ACGGGAGGCAGCAGUGGGGAAUAUUGGGCAAUGGGGGAAACCCUGACCUAGCAACGCCGCGUGAAGGAAGAAGGCCUUCGGGUUGUAAACUUCUUUUACCAGGGACGAUAAUGACGGUACCUGGAGAAGAAGCAACGGCUAACUACGUGCCAGCAGCCGCGGUAAUACGUAGGUUGCAAGCGUUGUCCGGAUUUACUGGGUGUAAAGGGCGUGUAGGCGGAGCUGCAAGUCAGAUGUGAAAUCCCGGGGCUCAACCCCGGAACUGCAUUUGAAACUGUAGCACUUGAGUAUCGGAGAGGCAAGCGGAAUUCCUAGUGUAGCGGUGAAAUGCGUAGAUAUUAGGAGGAACACCAGUGGCGAAGGCGGCUUGCUGGACGACAACUGACGCUGAGGCGCGAAAGCGUGGGGAGCAAACAGGAUUAGAUACCCUGGUA
The sequence is a ribosomal RNA, 434 nucleotides long. It matches the Rfam family "Bacterial small subunit ribosomal RNA", at positions 341 to 792 of the family's 1533-position model.